UGAGCAAUCUGCCCUUCUCUUUGGAAUAAGCGUUGGAAACGACGUCUAAUGCCGAAUACGACCUCCUUUCGCAUGAUCGGAGGUGGAAAGCUCCGGCGGAGAAGGAUGAGCUCGCGGCCUAUCAGCUAGUUGGUGUGGGUAAUGGCCCACCAAGGCGACGACGGGUAGCCGGCCUGAGAGGGUGACCGGCCACACUGGGACUGAGACACGGCCCAGACCUCCGUACGGGGAGGNAGCG
RNAcentral lists this ribosomal RNA (238 nucleotides) under uncultured bacterium. RNAcentral's name for it is "partial 16S ribosomal RNA". It matches the Rfam family "Bacterial small subunit ribosomal RNA", at positions 118 to 353 of the family's 1533-position model. The record is from RNAcentral.